Molecule: ribosomal RNA, 505 nt
Filed under: uncultured bacterium
Lineage: Bacteria
Description: partial 16S ribosomal RNA
Rfam family: Bacterial small subunit ribosomal RNA
Source: RNAcentral
GACGAACGCUGGCGGCGUGCCUAAUACAUGCAAGUAGAACGCACAGUUUAUACCGUAGCUUGCUACACCAUAGACUGUGAGUUGCGAACGGGUGAGUAACGCGUAGGUAACCUGCCUGGUAGCGGGGGAUAACUAUUGGAAACGAUAGCUGAUACCGCAUAAUAUUGAUUAUUGCAUGAUAAUUGAUUGAAUGAUGCUAUUGCAUCACUACCAGAUGGACCUGGGUUGUAUUAGCUAGUAGGGGAAGUAACGGCGCACCUAAGCGACGAUACAUAGCCGACCUGAGAGGGGGAACGGCCACACUGGGACUGGGACACGGCCCCGACUCCUACGGGAGGCAGCAGUAGGGAAUCUUCGGCAAUGGACGAAAGUCUGACCGAGCAACGCCGCGUGAGUGAAGAAGGUUUUCGGAUCGUAAAGCUCUGUUGUAAGAGAAGAACGGGUGUGAGAGUGGAAAGUUCACACUGUGACGGUAUCUUACCAGAAAGGGACGGCUAACUACGUG